Long non-coding RNA from Anolis carolinensis (green anole), 3131 nucleotides. Lineage: Eukaryota; Metazoa; Chordata; Lepidosauria; Squamata; Anolidae. The record is from Ensembl.
CUUUGAAUACAAUAAGCCAUCCAUAUAUUAAGAAAAAAAGAAUAUAGCUUUGAAACAGAAACAAGUUGUAAUCAAUCCAUUUUUUUUCUACAUAAAAUAAACCUGAUUUCAAUUAAAACAACCUCUGGAGGUAGAUUGAAGUAGAGUAUAAUAAACGGGUAAAUGUAAGGCGUGGGAAAAGUUCAGACAUUCCUUCCAGCAUAUUGAAUCAAUUAAUAGCAUGUACAAGGAAACCCUGAUUAUUUGAAAGAGUGGAGAAAAAUGACUUGAUUCUUUACAAGUAGUACAGACUAUUAUUAGUAUUCCAGAUAGACUAUGUUCUAGGGAGUCCAUCAUAAGCUUUGAUCUGUCUGCAUCCACAGCUGGAAACUUUGCACCAGGCUCUGGAAGCAGCACGAUGUGACAACAGUCGCCUCCAUCAGAAAAAUCACCACAGCAUCCUUGAAUAUAAGACAGAAGAGAUGAGGAAGCAAGAUACAGUAUCCACGGGAGAGCAAAUGAUCCCUGAUGUAGUGAAAGAGAGGUCAGAAAUUAUGAAACUGGAUUGCAUGUUAUUCCAUGGCUAGCACUUCCAAGGUCUGAAAUGGUAAAUGGAAGAAUGGUUUCUUAAGAAGGGAUGCUUGGGUUCUUCAAAAUCAAAAAUUGAAGUUAUUCUUGAGGAGCGCAUAGCAAAACAGAAACAAACAACACUCUGAAUUCAAAGUUUUCUCCAGUACUGGACACAAGGCGACCUACAAUAAAUCAAAAAUAUAGCCUUGCACAGAAAACCCAUGAUAGGUGUCAGCUUCUCUUUGCUUGGGCUUUGGACACACUGUUGAGUGUAAAAAUCAAGUUAUACCUCUGUCAAAUCAUGCAAUCCAUAACAGAAAGAAGGAGAAAAGGUUUCAUUGCAAAAGGAAUUUCUUCAUCAGACUGUACACUGACAUGUACAUGCUAUGCAUGUAAGUAUGGAUUUAUAGUAUAUCCCAUUACUGGUUUGAACCAAGACAGAAUGAAUUAAAGAGUGAAUAGGAUACAUAGAUUUCUCUUGAGAAUACAGGGAUUUUGAUCCUUCUGUUUCCACAUAAUAUUACAAUAAGAAGCUUCUGUAACUUAUGGCAAUUGCAUUUUCAGUUCAUCCUAUGUGCUAAAAAAAUACAGCUCGUACUCUUAAUAAAUAGCUUUUCUGUGCUACUACCAGUUGUGUUGAUUGCACAAACUCUUUAAUUAGACACACACUUAGAUGAGAUACACAUGUUUUACAAGGUAAAAUUAGGUGACAUUUUAAACACAUUUCAGCUAACAAGAAGAACCAUGUGCAAUUGGGAAGCCAAGGAAAUUGUAUUUCAGGCAUUUCAACAAGGCUGUAACAAAGGAGCAGCAAUACAAAAUAAGUGAAUGAUUCUACUUGAUUCUUCUAUCCCCCCCCCCCCCCAGUCAUUUUAUCAGGGACGAAGAAUAUUUUACAAUAGUGCACGCAUGAAGGUUGUAUGCAUUCCCCAGCAUUAAAUUGUGGUAGAAAAUGAAAAACCUAAUAGCAUUUUGAUAUAUUCCAGUUAGGUUUUCCAUUAGGAGAAAAAGGUGAUAUGUUCACACCAUUUGUCAGGAAACGAAGAAAUGAAGAGAAUGUUGACAAUUUCAUUACACUCUGGUUAUGGGGUGAUCCGCAGUUACCUAUUACAAGAUAAAAAAAGCCUAUUCAGAAUAUUAUUAGUUGAAAACAUUACUGUUUAUAGUUACUUUAAGUAGUGCUGCAACUGCACAGUUGAUAUAAUGAUACAAUCCACAGAUUUCAAAAGAGAGAUUUCAUAUCACUUACAGCUUUAGCUCAUUUUUUGACUGGUAAGAAUGAUACAACAUCAAAACAAGUCCUGUACUGAUAAGACAAAGGGCUAUUUUUUUUAAAAAAAGAAAGUAACCGAUCGGUUAUUAAAAGUACCUCAGAGUGUUGCACAAUUUUUUUACCUUUAUUCAGAAAGACUGCAUUUCUGGCCAUUGGUUAAACUUCUUUAACUCUUUUGAAUCCUAACAACCCAGUUGUGUGCAGAAUUGCAGCCAAAUCCACACACACACACACCCCCACCCGCACAUGCAUGUACAUACACAUACUGGCUAUUUUAUUGACUGUACAAUUUCAACUAUUUUUUAAAUAAUAUUUCACUGGUGGCUGAUCAUUUCCAUUAACUAACUGCAUGGUCACAUUGGUUUGUUUGUUUUUCUUGUGUGCUUUCAAGUCAUUUCUGACUUAACGGAGACCCAAGGUAAACCUAUCAUGAGGUUUUCUUGGCAAGAUUUCUUUGGAGUGGGUUUGUGUUUGCCUUGACCUGAGAGAAUGUGAGUUGCUCAAGGUCACCAAGUGGGUCUUUAUGUCUGAGCAUGUCUUUCCAGGAUCAUAGUCCAACCCUCUACUAUAGAUAUCACAGGUAAUGCGUAUCUAUGAAGAAGUGAUUCUCUUUCAACUCUUUAUGGAUGCCUUUGAGGUAAGUGGGUACUGGAUAGCAGUGUUGAUGCAAACUUACCAGUCAAGCUUCUAUAGUAUAGUUGUUGUGUACAGCUAAUAACAUCCAGAGUUGGGAUACUACUACUACUACAACAACAACAACAACAACAACAACAACAACAACAACAACAACAAUCUUUUCUUAUAUUCUGCCCCCUCUCCCAAAGGACUUGGAUGGCUUACAACAAAUAAAUAUAAAACCAAGCAAGAAUAAAAUAAUACAUAAUGACAAUCAAAAAACACCACAACUAACUAAUAAUAUCAAAAUAAAAUACACAGAUUAAAUUUGGCAGGAUUUGAAACCCUCAUACUUAAUUGAAUGCAUUUUGGAUGCACAACUGAACGAACAAUCAAAUGCACAUCUACAGGUACGAUGGCAUCACUUUAGGGUUGCCCAAUUAAUCCCAUCCCACUCCUGAAAUUUCAAGGUGAAAACCUGAGAUCUGGGAAUCACACAUUGUAAUGUCACAAUGGGUAGCUCUGAUAAUGUUAUAAUGCAUAUUUUAAGAUAUUAAUACAUGCUACAUUCAUGUUAUAAAGUAUAUUGCAUUAAGAUAUCAAUUCAGGCUACAUUAAGCAUCAAUCACAUCUGCACAGUUUGCUAGUCUUUUUUUAAAAAAAACCAAAACAAAACAAAACAAACACCAUGUCU